UGGCUCAGGGGUAGAGUGUUUGCCUCACAUGCAUGAGGCCUGGGGUUCAAUUCCUCA
Molecule: transfer RNA, 57 nt
Filed under: Dipodomys ordii (Ord's kangaroo rat)
Lineage: Eukaryota; Metazoa; Chordata; Mammalia; Rodentia; Heteromyidae
Rfam family: tRNA
About the family: Transfer RNA (tRNA) molecules are approximately 80 nucleotides in length. Their secondary structure includes four short double-helical elements and three loops (D, anti-codon, and T loops). Further hydrogen bonds mediate the characteristic L-shaped molecular structure. tRNAs have two regions of fundamental functional importance: the anti-codon, which is responsible for specific mRNA codon recognition, and the 3' end, to which the tRNAs corresponding amino acid is attached (by aminoacyl-tRNA synthetases). tRNAs cope with the degeneracy of the genetic code in two manners: having more than one tRNA (with a specific anti-codon) for a particular amino acid; and 'wobble' base-pairing, i.e. permitting non-standard base-pairing at the 3rd anti-codon position.
Source: Rfam by way of RNAcentral